GGGGAGCUGACGUCGAUGUGCCGCUAUACAUGCAAGUCGAGCGAACUUGCGGGAGCUUGCUCCCAAAAGUUAGCGGCGGACGGGUGAGUAACACGUGGGCAACCUGCCUGUAAGACUGGGAUAACUUCGGGAAACCGGAGCUAAUACCGGAUAAUUCUUAUCAACACAUGUUGAUAAGCUGAAAGUCGGUUUCGGCUGACACUUACAGAUGGGCCCGCGGCGCAUUAGCUAGUUGGUGAGGUAACGGCUCACCAAGGCAACGAUGCGUAGCCGACCUGAGAGGGUGAUCGGCCACACUGGGACUGAGACACGGCCCAGACUCCUACGGGAGGCAGCAGUAGGGAAUCUUCCACAAUGGACGAAAGUCUGAUGGAGCAACGCCGCGUGAGCGAUGAAGGCCUUCGGGUCGUAAAGCUCUGUUGUUAGGGAAGAACAAGUAUCGGAGUAACUGCCGGUACCUUGACGGUACCUAACCAGAAAGCCACGGCUAACUACGUGCCAGCAGCCGCGGUAAUACGUAGGUGGCAAGCGUUGUCCGGAAUUAUUGGGCGUAAAGCGCGCGCAGGCGGUCCUUUAAGUCUGAUGUGAAAGCCCACGGCUCAACCGUGGAGGGUCAUUGGAAACUGGGGGACUUGAGUGCAGAAGAGGAAAGCGGAAUUCCACGUGUAGCGGUGAAAUGCGUAGAGAUGUGGAGGAACACCAGUGGCGAAGGCGGCUUUCUGGUCUGUAACUGACGCUGAGGCGCGAAAGCGUGGGGGAGCAAACAGGAUUAGAUACCCCUGGUAGUCCACGCCGUAAAC
RNAcentral lists this ribosomal RNA (800 nucleotides) under Bacillus sp. G1Ba-24. RNAcentral's name for it is "bacterial SSU rRNA". It matches the Rfam family "Bacterial small subunit ribosomal RNA", at positions 24 to 807 of the family's 1533-position model. Lineage: Bacteria; Bacillati; Bacillota; Bacilli; Caryophanales; Bacillaceae. The record is from RNAcentral.